GUUUAGUGGCAAACGGGUGAGUAACGAGUACGAACGUACUCUUAAGCGGAGGAUAGCCCACCGAAAGGUGGAGUAAUACUCCAUGUAGUCGCAAGACUAAAGACGCAAGUCACUUAAGAAGCGGCGUACUUACUACCAGCUAGUUGGUGAGGUAACGGCUCACCAAGGCUAUGACGGUUACCGGCUCUUAGCGGAGAGUCCGGCACAAUGGGACUGAGACACGGCCCAUACUUCUACGGAAGGCAGCAGUUAGGAAUUUUGCGCAAUGGACGAAAGUCUGACGCAGCGACACCGCGUGUGGGAUGAAGGCCUUAGGGUCGUAAACCACUUUUUUAUCUUCAUGAAGUAGGUAAGAAUAAGGAACUACUAACUACGUGCCAGCAGUCGCGGUAAUACGUAGGUUCCAAGCGUUACCCGGUUUUAUUGGGCGUAAAGAGUCUGCAGGCGGCUUUAUAAGUCUUGUUUCAAAGACUCCGACUCAAUCGGAGACAGGGGCAAGAUACUGUAUCGCUAGAGUGAUAUCGGGGUUACUGGAAUUUUCAGUGUAGGGGUAAAAUCCGUGGAUACUGAAAAGAACACCAAGCGCGAAGGCGGGUAACUAGGUAUAUACUGACGCUCAGAGACGAAAGCUAGGGUAGCCAAUCAGAUUAGAGACCUGAGUAGUCCUAGCCGUAAACAUUGUCCGUUAAUUCUUCCCGAUUUAUCGGGGGGGAUGUAAGCUAACGCGUUAAACGGACCGCCUGGGGAGUAUAGCCGCAAGGCCGAAACUCAAACGAAUUGGCGGGGAGGCGCACAACCAGUGGAGCAUGUGGUUCAAUUCGAUACGAAGCGAUGAACCUUACCUGGGCUUGAAAUGUAUCUGCACGGUCCCGGAAACGGGAUCAGCCUUCGAGGGUGAUACACAGGUGUUGCAUGGCUGUCGUCAGCUCGUGACGUGAGUUGUUCUCUUAAGUGAGGUAACGAGCGCAACCCCCAUUCUGUGUUACUGUGUCACAGAAGACUGCCUAGCAUUAUUUUGUUAGGAGGAAGGAGGGGACGACGUCAAGUCAUCAUGAUCCUUAUGUCCAGGGCUACACACAUCCUACAAUGGAUAUUAACAGAGGGUUGCAAUACCGCGAGGUGGAGCUAAUCCCUAAAAGUAUCCUCAGUUGGGACUGCAGGCUGAAACUCGCCUGCACGAACCCGGAAUUGGUAGUAAUCGCACAUCAGCAGCGUGCGGUGAAUACGUUCUCGCCUCUUGCACACACUGCCCGUCAAAUCAGCAAAGUUGGGGGUACCCAAAGUCUUACGUUUCGUCGGACCAAGGUAAAUCCAGCGAUGAGGGUUAAGUCGUAACAAGGUA
Molecule: ribosomal RNA, 1342 nt
Filed under: metagenome
Description: bacterial SSU rRNA
Rfam family: Bacterial small subunit ribosomal RNA
Source: RNAcentral